Molecule: ribosomal RNA, 484 nt
Filed under: uncultured bacterium
Lineage: Bacteria
Description: partial 16S ribosomal RNA
Rfam family: Bacterial small subunit ribosomal RNA
Source: RNAcentral
AUUGAACGCUGGCGGCAGGCCUAACACAUGCAAGUCGAGCGGAUGAAGGGAGCUUGCUCCUGGAUUCAGCGGCGGACGGGUGAGUAAUGCCUAGGAAUCUUCCUGGUAGUGGGGGAUAACGUCCGUAAACGGGCGCUUAUACCGCAUACGUCCUGAGGGAGAAAGUGGGGGAUCUUCGGACCUCACGCUAUCAGAUGAGCCUAGGUCGGAUUAGCUAGUUGGUGGGGUAAAGGCCUAACAAGGCGACGAUCCGUAACUGGUCUGAGAGGAUGAACAGUCACACUGGAACUGAGACACGGUACAGACUCCUACGGGAGGCAGCAGUGGGGAAUAUUGGAAGAUGGGCGAAAGCCUGAUCAAGCCAUGCCGCGUGGAUGAAGAAGGUCUUCGGAUUGUAAAGCACUUUAAGUUGGGAGGAAGGGCAGUAAGUUAAUACCUGGCUGUUUUGACGUUACCAACAGAAUAAGCACCGGCUAACUUCGUG